This 406-nucleotide ribosomal RNA is filed under the name uncultured bacterium. RNAcentral's name for it is "bacterial SSU rRNA". It matches the Rfam family "Bacterial small subunit ribosomal RNA", at positions 355 to 776 of the family's 1533-position model. The record is from RNAcentral.
UUGGGAAUUUUGCACAAUGGACGAAAGUCUGAUGCAGCAACGCCGCGUGGAGGAUGAAGAACUUAGGUUUGUAAACUCCUUUUGCGAGGGAAUAAUUUUUGAAGGUACCUCGCGAAUAAGCACCGGCUAACUCCGUGCCAGCAGCCGCGGUAAUACGGAGGGUGCAAACGUUGUCCGGAAUUACUGGGCGUAAAGAGCAUGUAGGUGGUUUGGUAAGUGAAUGAUUAAAGACCGAUGCUUAACAUCGGGAAGGUUGUUCAUACUGCCAGACUUGAGAAUGGUAGGGGUACGCGGAACUUUAGGUGUAGGAGUGAAAUCCGUAGAUAUCUAAAGGAACACCAAUGGCGAAGGCAGCGUACUGGGCCAUUUCUGACACUGAGAUGCGAAAGCGUGGGGAGCGAACGGG